This 439-nucleotide ribosomal RNA is filed under the name uncultured bacterium. Its description in RNAcentral is "bacterial SSU rRNA". It matches the Rfam family "Bacterial small subunit ribosomal RNA", at positions 954 to 1392 of the family's 1533-position model. The record is from RNAcentral.
GCAUAACGCGAAGAACCUUACCCACCUUUGACAUGGCAGGAACUUUCCAGAGAUGGAUUGGUGCCUUCGGGAACUCUGACACAGGUGCUGCAUGGCUGUCGUCAGCUCGUGUCGUGAGAUGUUGGGUUAAGUCCCGUAACGAGCGCAACCCUUGUCCUUAGUUACCAGCACGUUAUGGUGGGCACUCUAAGGAGACCGCCGGUGACAAACCAGAGGAAGGUGGGGAUGACGUCAAGUCCUCAUGGCCCUUAUGCGUAGGGCUUCACACGUCAUACAAUGGUCGGUACAGAGGGCUGCCAACCCGCGAGGGGGAGCCAAUCCCAAAAAACCGAUCGUAGUCCGGAUUGCAGUCUGCAACUCGACUGCAUGAAGUCGGAAUCGCUAGUAAUCGCGGAUCAGAAUGUCGCGGUGAAUACGUUCCCGGGUCUUGUACACACCG